This is an RNA transcript of Chroicocephalus ridibundus (black-headed gull), 14057 nucleotides long. It is a transcript of the gene named adenylate cyclase 9, with no coding region annotated. The transcript has 12 exons. The record is from RefSeq and is a predicted model, not a curated record. Lineage: Eukaryota; Metazoa; Chordata; Aves; Charadriiformes; Laridae.
UGUGAGGGCCCUCGGCGGCCCGGCCGUGAGGGGAGCGGUGGCCGAAGGGCGCGGGGAGGAAGAAGGCGAGCCGACAUGGAGGAGCGGUCCCCUCCCGGCGGGGGCCCGGCGUUCCCCCCGCGGGGCUGAGGCGGCGGCCGCCCGCCCCGCGCCUCGGCGGGGCCAGCGGCGGGCGGCAGCCCCGGCCCGGCCCGGAGGAGGAGGAGGGCGGGCGAGGCGAGGGGACUAUGCGGGGCUGUCCGCGCCCCAGCGCCCUGUGUGCCCAGCCCGGCGAGCGGCGGAGCGCCGCGGCGCUGCCCGGCCGCCCCUCCGCCCCGGCGGCGGGAGGAGACUAGAGGCGAGUCUUCCCGGGGAGCCCCCGGUGGCCUUUCCCAGCCCUCGAGAGAGAGAGAGAGAGACCUAACUCCUGAGCCGGGGCUCUUCGGGAGGAAUUGACAAACAUGGCUUCCCCACCGCACCAGCAGCUGCUGCAUCACCACAGCACCGAGGUGAGCUGCGACUCCAGCGGGGACAGCAACAGCGUGACGGUGAAAAUCAACCCCAAGCAGCACCAGGGCUGCUCCUCUUCCAAGCACUGCAAGUACAGCAUCUCCUCCAGCUGCAGCUCGGGGGAGUCGGGGGGGACCCGCCGGGCCGGCGGAGGUGGCCACGGCAGCGGCCACGGCCUCCGCCGGCAGAAGAAGCUGCCGCAGCUCUUCGAGAGGGCCUCGUCCAAGUGGUGGAACCCCAAGUUCGACUCCAACAACCUCGAGGAGGCUUGCAUGGAGAGAUGCUUCCCGCAGACCCAGCGCAGGUUUCGCUAUGCCCUCUUCUACAUCGGCGUGGCCUGCCUUCUCUGGGGCAUCUACUUCGGCAUACACAUGCGAGAGAAACAGAUUGUUUUCAUGGUGCCGGCCCUGUGCUUCCUCUUGGUGUGUGUAGCCUUUUUUGUGUUCACUUUCACGAAGACUUAUGCCCGCCAUUACGUAUGGACUUCACUGAUACUCACCCUCCUGGUUUUUGCUUUGACUCUCGCUCCGCAGUUCCAGGCUCUGAAGCCUGUCUCAGGAAGUGGUGACAUGUCCAACCGGACUCUCCCGGCAGAUCCCACAGACACUUGUCUUUCUCAAGUAGGCAGUUUUUCUAUGUGUAUCGAAGUGCUCUUGUUGCUUUACACAGUGAUGCACUUACCCUUGUAUUUAAGCUUGUUCCUGGGACUGUCGUACUCGGUCCUCUUCGAGACCUUUGGUUAUCACUUCCGCGACGAGAACUGUUUUGCACCUCUUGGAGCUGGUGCGGUUUACUGGGAGCUGUUGAGUAAAGCCUUCCUGCACAUCUGCAUCCACGCCAUCGGUAUUCAUUUAUUUAUCAUGUCCGAAGUCAGAUCGAGAAGCACAUUCCUGAAAGUGGGGCAAUCCAUCAUGCAUGGAAAAGACUUGGAAGUGGAAAAAGCCCUGAAAGAGAGGAUGAUUCAUUCUGUUAUGCCAAGAAUAAUAGCCGAUGACUUAAUGAAGCAGGGGGAUGAUGAAAGUGAAAACUCCGUCAAACGUCAUUCCACCUCAAGCCCCAAAAACAAGAAGAAGAAGCCCUCCAUACAGAAGACCCCCAUAAUUUUCCGUCCUUUUAAAAUGCAGCAGAUAGAGCAAGUGAGCAUUUUGUUUGCGGAUAUUGUUGGCUUCACGAAAAUGAGCGCAAAUAAAUCUGCCCAUGCUCUGGUGGGACUCCUGAACGAUCUCUUUGGACGUUUCGACCGGCUGUGCGAGGACACUAAAUGUGAGAAGAUAAGCACUUUGGGAGACUGCUAUUACUGCGUAGCUGGCUGCCCAGAGCCCCGGGCGGAUCACGCUUACUGCUGCAUCGAGAUGGGCUUAGGUAUGAUUAAAGCCAUUGAGCAGUUUUGCCAAGAGAAAAAAGAAAUGGUCAACAUGAGAGUGGGUGUUCAUACUGGGACAGUCCUGUGUGGCAUUUUGGGAAUGAGGAGGUUCAAGUUUGAUGUGUGGUCCAAUGAUGUCAAUUUGGCCAACCUGAUGGAGCAGCUCGGGGUGGCUGGAAAAGUCCAUAUUUCGGAAGCUACUGCCAAAUAUUUGGAUGAUCGUUAUGAAAUGGAGGAUGGAAAGGUGAUUGAGCGGGUUGGUCAGAGCGUGGUAGCCGACCAGUUAAAAGCAAGACACCUCCUUGUUCAGUGUCCCUCAAGGAAUGGCUUUAUCGCCGAGUUUCUGUUAGAAGCCCUUGAAGAUACAGACAAGCUUUUCUCUCUAAUUUUGCUGUUUGCUUCAUCAUGGAAAAAAAGUUUGAAGACCUAUCUGAUCUCUGGCCAUAAAGUGAAGGAGCCCCACUGUAGCUGUUCCCAAGCCUUGCUUCCUGGCUUGGAGACCGGAGAAGGAGCCAGGAAACAGGGAGCAUGGUCAGCUGAGAACGCCGGGGACUUGACAAAGACUCUCAAACAUGCGGAAAAACCUAAGCCUUGCCCUUCAUGUAGUACCACCCUUGCUCCCCACUGCGAUGUCAGCAUAGACGAAGGAGCUAUCCAAAAUGGUUGUCAGGAUGAGCAUAAAAAUAAUACGAAGGCUACAGGAGGACACAGUCCAAAGACUCAAAAUGGACUUUUGAGUCCUCCCCAGGAAGAAAAGCUCAGCAAUAGUCAAACCUCGCUUUAUGAAAUGCUGCAAGAGAAAGGGAGGUGGGGCGGAGUGAGCCUGGAUCAAUCAGCUCUCCUUCCUUUGAGGUUCAAAAACAUCAGAGAAAAGACAGACGCUCACUUUGUGGAUGUGAUUAAAGAAGACAGCCUCAUGAAAGACUACUUCUUUAAACCACCUAUUAACAAGCUGAGCCUGAACUUCUUGGAUCAGGAUUUGGAGAUGGCCUACAGGACGAGCUAUCAGGAAGAGGUUAUAAGGAAUGCUCCAGUGAAGACAUUUGCCAGCGCUACUUUCAGCUCUCUCCUGGACGUGUUCCUCUCCACCACGGUCUUCCUCAUACUUUCCAUCACCUGUUUCCUGAAACACGGGAUGGUGGCAUCCCCUCCACCACCCGCAGCAGUCGUGGUGUUCAUCAUCGCCAUCCUGCUUGAGGUGCUGUCCCUUGUCAUCUCAAUUAGAAUGGCCUUCUUUCUGGAGGAGGUGAUGACUUGCACCAAGCGUCUCCUGGAGGUGAUAUCUGGCUGGCUGCCUCGACAUUUUUUCGGUGCAAUCCUGGUUUCUCUCCCAGCUCUUGCAGUUUUUUCACACUUCACCUCUGAUUUUGAAACAAAUAUACAUUACACCAUGUUUAUGUGUUGCGCAAUUCUCAUCACCAUUGUGCAGUACUGUAACUUCUGCCAGCUCAGCUCCUGGAUGAGAUCUGUGUUGGCAACCGUAGUAGGAGCAGUGCUUCUCAUCCUGCUCUACGUCUCCUUGUGUCCGGACAGCUCCGUGGAAACUUUUCAUCUAGAUUUGGCACAGAACUUUAGCUCCACAAAAAGUCCGUGCAACAGCUCGAUGGCAAAUGACAUGAAGAGGCCAGCAGACCUGAUCGGCCAGGAAGUGAUUUUAGUUUCCUUCCUUCUGCUCCUCCUGGUCUGGUUUCUGAAUCGAGAGUUUGAGGUCAGUUACCGCCUCCACUACCACGGAGAUGUGGAGGCUGAUCUCCAUCGCACCAAAAUUCAGAGCAUGAGGGAUCAAGCUGACUGGCUGCUGAGGAAUAUUAUUCCCUACCACGUGGCCGAGCAGCUGAAGGUUUCCCAGAGCUAUUCCAAAAACCACGACAGCAGCGGAGUAAUCUUUGCAAGUAUUGUGAACUUCAGCGAGUUCUAUGAAGAGAACUACGAAGGAGGCAAAGAGUGCUACAGAGUCCUGAACGAAUUGAUUGGGGAUUUUGAUGAGCUGCUGAGCAAACCGCAUUACAGCAGCAUUGAGAAAAUCAAAACAAUCGGGGCAACCUACAUGGCUGCUUCGGGACUGAACACCUCGCAGUGUCAGGACAGCAACCAUCCCCACGGACAUUUGCAGACCCUUUUUGAAUUUGCCAAAGAAAUGAUGCGAGUGGUGGAUGACUUCAACAACAACAUGCUGUGGUUUAAUUUUAAACUUAGGAUUGGCUUUAACCACGGCCCCCUCACUGCUGGGGUCAUUGGCACCACCAAGUUGUUGUAUGACAUUUGGGGUGACACUGUGAACAUUGCUAGCAGAAUGGACACCACCGGCGUCGAGUGUCGCAUACAGGUGAGUGAGGAGAGCUACCGCAUCCUAAACAAGAUGGGGUAUGACUUUGACUAUAGGGGGACGGUCAAUGUGAAGGGGAAAGGUCAGAUGAAGACCUACCUUUACCCAAAAUGCAUGGACAGUGGGAUCGUGCCACAUCACCAGUUGUCUAUAUCUCCAGACAUUCGGGUUCAAGUGGAUGGCAGCAUUGGGCGAUCUCCGACGGAUGAGAUUGCCAACCUGGUGCCUUCUGUACAGAAUUCUGAUAAGAUAGCCCAUGGCACAGAUAACUCAGAAACCAAGGACAUCCUUCCUUCCACCAAGAAGCUCCAGAAAGAUGCGGCGAGAGCAGAGGAGAGGUGCAGGUUUGGCAAAGCCGCGGAGAAGACUGACUGUGAGGAAGCGGGAACUGAGGAGGUCAAUGAACUGACAAAGCUAAAUAUCUCUAAGAGUGUAUGAUGCACUGUCAGAGUUGCAUGAAGUGCUCUGUCAAUAGAAACACAAAGACAUUUGCAAUUGGCAGUUUGCUUUUUCAAGAGAGACCUUCUCAACACCUGGGUUGUACGUUUGUUUUCAUUUCAGCGCCUGAUGCUGUGUGGAUCACAGCUCUUCAGGGCUUGUUUUCAUCCAUCUCUCUCCUCCAUGCCCCAAAUCACAUCCCAAGCUCCCCAGCUCCCUGUGCAACCAUCUUACAGCUGAGUAGAGGAUAUUAAGUGCCUUCAGAUAUACUCCAUUGGACUCCCUGUCAAGGUACAGAGGCCCCAAGUGAAAUCAUAGCUUUGGGUAUUUAUCUAAUUUUAAAGAAAAGAAAAGCUGUGGUUAUAUCAUUUUUAUUGUUGUUUCUCACAAAACACUUUUUUUGGCUAAUGCAACUCCUUGGGUUUUUUAUAUCUCUCUGAACAAUGUUUUACUGUUAACAGACCUUUUGUAUGUAAACACACAGACAAAUGUGCAUGUAUCUACCAUAUGAGACUGACAUAAAGUGCCAGUAACGUACCACAAAAGAAUGUCGUGGCGAGGGGGUGACAUAAUUUGACUCCAUGUUGGGCUGGAGGAGGAGUUCUGCAGUGGCUCAACAUUUAGGUAGAGUAGGCUGAACAACUGCUGUAGUUUUAUUCUCCUUUACCAAUGCUUUCUUCAACCUUAAUGUGCCAUUGUGUGCUUUGGAUACACUUCUUUUCCAUAUAGCCAAUGAGUUACUGAUCUGUGGGGAUGGAAUAAGGGUUCGGACUUCACCAGCUCUCAGGACAGGUUUCCAGAAGCAGAUGAGUGACCGCGAGAGUGUUACAAUUCAGGUCUUAAAGCAGUUUCGCAUUACUCCGUGCCCUAGCUGAAUUUGCGAAGUUUUAUAGACGACUCUACCCAGCAUUUCUCUCUCAUUGAUCCGCUGUUUGCGGUGGCAGAGUUCAGGCGAGAUGCUCCAGCUUCUCUCUCGCGUGAGACCCUGCACAAUACCUAAACCUCCACCAGCAACAGCCCCGCGUCCCCUGGGAGGUUUGCACCCUGUGAUGGAACCUGAAAGGAGAAGGUGCUGGAGCUGGGCCCCGCACCCAGAGCACCCUCCUCCUCCUCUCUCUCUCUUCAAGUAAUGCACUGCAGAAUACAAAAGCCUCAUCCUCCAGCCUAUAAAGUAAAGAACAGUCCCGUGCUGUCGUGGUAUGGUGCUGCGGGAGUAUUGUUGGUUUUCUGCUAACAUUAGAAUACCAAAAAAAAAAAAUAAAAUACCAGGGCCUCUGAUAUUUGUUGGCACAAAACAAAUAAAAUGACUGAGGACGGAAGUAUUAGUGGACUCUGAAAUCAAGGGCUGUUGUCUGCUCUGGGAACCGCCGGCAACGUUACUCUGCCUUAACUCUGAAGCUGGGAAGAGAGCCGUGAAAAGCUGAGUAACUCGUGGUAGCCCUGUGUGCUUAUUGCUACCAGGGCAGCAGCCAAGCCUUCAGCAACUCGGGCUGCGCGUCUUCUCUCGGAGAUUUUAAAUCUCCUCCUUAAUGCAGCAUAUUAACAAAACCAGGAAGCUAAGCUCUCAAUGUACCAUUUGGAUAGUGAGUUUUUCCCAGGCACGAGGAGCAAGGAGGUGCCUAUUUUCGAUUGUAAAACAGCGGGAGCUGAACCUUUACACCUUCCCUUCUCACGCCUUUGAAAAGAUGUUCCAAUACUCGCAAAAAUUGCUCCGGAGGCGUUUUUUAAGGCAUUGCGCGGUUCUGCGUUCCUCUCUGCAGCCAUGACACGUGUGCGCCUGCGGGAGGCCUUGAUCAAAGUUCAUUUCAUUACAAUAUCUUUUGGGCUUGUUCCGUUAGUGCCAGCACAAUUUGAACCCGGUAUAAAAGCGGAGGAGUUGGCCAGGUACCUGGAAGCGUAUUCUGCAAGAAUAACCAGAGCAUUGCUGCAUUUUGUAUUUGCAGGGUGUUUUAAUGGUGAUAAUUUAAAGAUUGUCCAGAGGAGGGGAGGCAAGGGGAAAGAUUGCUGAAUAUUUGCUAGCCCCAUGUUGCUUUCUGCCACGGUUCCCUCGCGGGAGCCCCUCUAGAGCACAGAAUAAUGAGGAAUAUGCUGAAUAUUUUCUGCAGUGUCGUCUUAAUCUGCUGCUAACACACAAAAAUGCUUCUUUUUCUCCCAGCUACUUCUGUGAGACAGAUUUCUUGUUCCAAAAAAAAAAAAAAAAACAAGUAAAUGACAUUCCCAUUGAUUUACUUCUGGCGUUGAUGAUUUUGAGAGAAGAACAGAUUUGCCUGUUAUUUCCCAGGAUUUGGGGCUGUUCCCGGUUGCUGGAGGUAAUGCGAGUGCUGCGAGCAGGGUGGGACGGUGCCGCUGCCUGACGCGGCUCCUGCCGUGUCCUAAUAUAAAGCACAAGAGGAUUAUUAAGAUAAAAUGAGGGGGGAGAGGGUGGACUCCUCAAGGGCUUUACAAAAAUUUAAGUAGUUGGAUACUCUUAUUUCAGGGCUAAAACAGAGAAAAGAGGCGCAUGGAACAAAAAUGAAAGGAGCUAUAAACCAAACACUGUACCUGUACCAGCGUUUAGUUAAAGACGAGCUUAUUCAUGAUUAAGAAGCCAAGCUUUUAGGGUAUCUGGCGUUUUAAAACUGUUAACUCUCACCUGUUCUUAAAACUUUAAUUCUGAACACAACAAAAAAAAUGUUGCAAGGGAGCAGUUACUGACGUCAUGCCUUUAUUUUGCAAUGUCACGGGAGGCUGAGAGCGCCCAAGAUUGGUUAUAAUGCAUUCAGCUGUUUAACUCUGCGUCUUGGGGUGGGGUUUUUUUGCCAAAUGUAAAGACCGUGUCUGUUUUCUUCAUUCUUCCCUGCUGGAGUCUUGUUUGCUCAGUCCGUCCGGGCCGGGCGAGUGGUUCUUGCCUCCCUGCUCCUCACCUUUGCUGAACUGCAUCUUCCGCACGGCACAGCGGCGUUUGAACCCUGCUGCUGCCAGGUCCGGGCUUCAGACGCUGCUUUCGCUGCUCUCUGCCUCUCUGCAUUUCCUAACGUAAAGGGGAAGAAUGCAUUUGGUGUUAUAUCUUGGUCCAUUUGUGACCAAAAGCUGCAGCUUUCUCCUUGUGGUGGUGUUGUUAAGCUGCUUGACAGAAGAUACAGAAGAGCAGCAGGCGCAUCCCAGUAGUUUAAAUUUAAGAAUUCUGUCAAAAAAUACAUUUUUCGUCACACCAGAAGUAGGAAAAAGAAGUUUUAUUACCUGGAGUUUUAGCAAGGGUGCAAAAGCAGAAGAGUGUAAGAAAUAAAACCCAGUGUUUGCUGUCAGCGUUGGGAUUCGCUGAAGUUCCUUUAAGUCUUGUUUUAGUUACAAAAGUGCUAAAAAUGCAGUAAUUGUUUAUUGAUGUGACUUUCCCAAUUGCUGAAGAUAUCUCGGGGGUGGUUUGACUGUCAAUACUGAAUCAUUUUCAUGUGGAAAGAGAAACAGUGGAGGCAGAGGUGCGGGGAUCCCCCUGAGCUCCCACCUCAAUGGCCAGGCCGCUGCGAAAACCCAGCUGGGGUCUCGGAGUGAUCCUGAGACCUGGCUGAGCUGUAUGUGGAACAUCAAUUUGGGCAGGAAAGUCAUUUAUUCCAAUGUUUUUUCCUUUUGAGUUCUCUACACAGGCUGUAGCAGUCCUUGUUUGGAUUUCUUGGGGGACAACAUGUAAGGAGAAAAACCUGAAUUAGUUUGCUGUUGCUGAGACUAUCUUCUGCAGUGGCAGUGAGAUUCUGCAAACUCCUGUAAAAAGUUGGGAAUUGUAACCAUUACAUGCUAAUUCCUGCAGAUGCUGUAGUUGCCCAGUAUCUAGUUUGCGUGCUGUGAUGGUCUGAAGAUUUUUCAGUCAAGAGCUGUGAAACCUUGGACCGUUUUCUGCUAAAAUGUAUCCAAAAUGUAAUGGAGAGGUGGAAGACCCUGGUCUGCAGAAAUGCAGCAGGAGCAGCAGAGGAUGCAGCAUAAAAACGGGGUUUUGGCUUACUGGGCAACCACAUGCAGCGCGGGAGAUGCUGUGAAUGAUAACAUGUGCUUCCAGGUCUGAAAUCAGGGAGAAAAGGGAGAAGGUAGAGCGUAAAACGAGGUGUCAGGUUGUUCUGAAGGCUGGUCUUUACUUUCCAGGUGUGGUGUCUCUGCUUGGCUGCUGCAGGGGAAGGUUUCUCGGGUGCGGAGCAGAGUCCUGGCUUCCCAGCGGGCCGAGCAAUGCAUGAUUUCUGUUGUGGGAUCCGGGAGCCUUAAAAUGUGCCUAUUUUUUUUUUUUUAAAUCUGCUUUAACGCCACCCUCUGAACUCUGUCCAGAGCGAUGAGAAGAAAAUCAGACACCAGGAGCUUAUUGUCUUUGUCUUAUUAGACUUCAUUUAAAAUCAAACAGCGGGCUCUGGAGAGGUUUGAGUAGAAAAUAAAGUAGGGGUGAAAUGUAUUGUGUCUUAACAGCGGCUCAGUUCAAGUGGUGCCGUGGGGAAGAGUUUUGAGGUGCUUUACAGACACUGGGUAAAGCUCUGGUAGGAAAAAAAAAAAUAAUGCAAGUUUUCUGUAUAAAACCUCUUUAAAAUCUUUAAGACAAGCUAAACUUUUUGUCUUCAGUGGGGAUGAGUGUCUGUACAACAUGUAUAGAAAUAUUCGUUACUUACAUUUGAAAGUCAACAUUGGCUUUUGAGAAAGAAGAUUAUUUUUGAAAAAAUAGGUUGGUAGAAGAUAUUUAAAGCUUUUUUUUUUUUUUCUUUCCCCCUGGUAAUUUAUUUUACCUGCUAGACAUUUACUCGCCUCACCAAGCUGGCGAGGAGCAGGAGGCAGGUGCCGGCGUUUCCACACACGCCGCUCUAGAGCCAACACAUUUCACAUCAUUUCACAGAAUCGUGGGGUUGGAAGGGACCUCUGGAGAUCAUCUCCUCCAACCCCUGCCAGAGCAGGGUCACCCAGAGCAGGUGGCACAGGAACGCGUCCAGGUGGGUUUGGAAUGUCUCCAGAGACGGAGACUCCACCACCUCUCUGGGCAGCCUGUGCCAGGGCUCUGCCACCCUCACAGCAAAGAAGUUCUUUCUCAUGUUUAGGCGGAACUUCCCAUGUUCCAGUUUGUGCCCAUUACCUCUUGUCCUGUCACUGGGCACCACUGAAAAGAGCCUGGCCCCAUCCUCCUGACACCCACCCUUUCAGUAUUUAUAAGCGUUGAUAAGGUCCCCCCUCAGUCGUCUUAUUUCCAGACUGAAGAGACCCAAAUCCCUCAGCCUUUCUUCAUCAGAGAGGUGUUCCAGUCCCCUCAGCAUCUUGGUAGCCCUUUGCUGUCCCCUCUCCAGCAGCUCCCUGUCCUUCUUGAACCGGGGAGCCCAGAACUGGACCCAGCGCUCCAGAUGUGGCCUCCCCAGGGCAGAGCAGAGGGGGAGGAUGACCUCCCUCCACCUGCUGGCCAUGCUCUUCUUGGUGCACCCAAGAAGAGUGUUUUCUAGCAGCUGUUCCACACAUGCGUCUCCAGGUUGGGAAUCGGUGUCGAGGAGGCAGUCAUUGGUGUUUUACACUUCUGGAAAGGCUCCAAGGCUGCUGUGUCGGCUUCUCACACCUUGACGCGGUUUGUUCUGCUCUCUCCCUGUUUUCUGGCUCACUGCAGCAACACAUAUUUUGAUUUGCAGAAGUUGGAGCGUUCACUGGAUCUGAAGAACUGCAGAGAAGGUCGUGGCUGGGAACAGUAAAAUUUUGAUUUUUGGCUCUAACCAGUGCAGUUCUAACCAACUUGUCAUCCAGCCAUGAGCAGUGGGAGUCAGAGCCGAGCAUCCCAGUAGGUGACGUCCCUGAUUUGAGCAUUGAUUUCCAAAUCCUCCUUUGACAAGUCAAAACAAAGCAACUUUCUCGAGUUUUUCCUUCUUUUCUCCCUUAGUCACUCAUGUCUUCACUUGUUUCUAACUUAAUGCAUUGGCUAAAUAUUAGUUUGCAAUUGAAAGACAGUUUGUAUCAAUUUGUUGUUGAGAGAUUUAAGCUCAGAGCAGGGAAAAUGCAGCGCGUGGUGCAUCUGUGGGCGUGCCCAGAGAGCAAACACCUCUUUAGUGUCUUUGAAACUUUGCCUUUAUUCAAGUGAGACCAGAGCUUUGUUUGAGAUUUAUUUCUAGUAUUAGCUGUGUAACUCCAUCUUGCUGUUGGCCUUAGAAAUUGCCCAAAGGAAGGAUUUUGCGGGAUCACAGUGGUCUGCGCCACGUCGCUGCCCGAACCAGGAUUUGACCACUGUCCAGGUACCGGCACGGCCCCACCGGCACCGUCAGACAUUUCUCUUAACCUUUAGAAGUCCACAGUUGCCAUAACCUUCCCCCCAAUUUUAAUUACUUCUAGUUUUCAGAGGCCGUGUUGAGAUAGGUAGAUAUAUGCUGGGACUUGUUAUACCCUACUGCGAGUACAGCUUUAAACUUCCAAAGUAAUAAACUCCUUAAAGCCAAGAGCCUUAACCAACUCCAAACGUCCGCUGAAAGGCAAAAGACCGUUUCAAGUUUGCGCCGAAUAUUUGGGAAUUUUUUCUGCUCCAUAGCGGGUGUCUCCUUCUUGCAAGGAGGCGGCGGCAGUAUCCAAAGAUGAUAAGGACCUUGGCCACCCUCACUGAAUCGCCCGGGAACAGGCAGGCAGGCUCUCCCCCCGCGCUCUCAGGAAAGUCACCUCGCUCCCCCAGGGCUGACGUGAUGGCUUUUAUAUAUUGCAUUACUCGGAAAAGCUCCUUCUUUCUGUGAAACAGUGUUUUUUAACUUAGCAUAAAGUGUUGUCUUUGCUGGCGGCAGGGGCUGGAUUCCUCCUUUCCCACCCCCAGACUCUCUUGGUCCGGCAUUGAGAUGGAGGAGGCGGGGAUGUAGGUGAUGGGAAAGCCAGGUGAGUCAGGGAAGGAGUUGGACGUGCCGCUGGCGCCGGACCCAGCAGAGGAGCUGCCGCGUGGCUCCCAUAGCAGUGCCGGGCUUUGGCAGCCGCGGGCUGGGCAGUCGCUCCCCGAGCUGGCGAGGUGACACAGGUUGGGGGAGGUUUGCUCUGGGGCCAGCGUCCCGCUGCCCUGCUGGGUUGAGCUGGUCCGCGGUCAGCCCGACGGCUGUCGGAUGCCUUUGUCAAUCCGUCUUCCCUCCUGGCCUAGUGGUUUCCUUUCACGUUUUCACGGGAGUAAAUUUCAGCCAGUUAUUAAAGCCGUGGAGGUGCUGCUGUCUGACCAUGGCGGGUUGGGGUUGGGUCUGUCCAACCUCAGUUUAUGCAGUAUUACACCUACACGCGACCCCUAUAUAAGCAAUUCCUGUGCGUCAGGAGCCGCGGUACCCGAUUACAGCCUGCAAGAAAUUAUUUUCGAAGUGAGAAACUCAAAUCAGGGUUGGCUUUGGUGUUCGGGCAGCGGUGCAGGCCCAUGGCCGGCGCGGACUCCCCGCCAUCCCCUGCUGUCUUUAAAAACUGCCUCCACAGUGUUACCCGAGACUCCGGCACUGCCUGGCCUUGCACAAGCGCACGUGGAGAUUGUACAGAAUUGAGAACGUUACUAUGAAUUGAAACAUUAAUUGAGAACAGUUUCCGGUUAAAAAGAAAGCGGGGGGGGGGGAAGGCAAAUUAAACCAUUUUAAAGUCUCCAGGUUAGCUGGAAAUUGUUUCUUCAUGACGUUUCUGUUUCCUUUCUCUUCCCACCCCAGCGAAGCCCGUGUUCCCGCUACCUUCUCCCCAACCUUCUUGCAAAAAGAGAGAGAACGGGUCUGUUUACACGCCGCGGGGGAAGCUGGCAGCUUCUGCCGGGGGCUUUGCUGGGGGACGGGGCUUCCUCGCAGCGGCUUCACUGUAAAUAGUCUGCCUUUUGCUUCGUUGACAAAACCGAAAUGGAAAAAAAAAAAGUUGUAUCUGUGAAAUAUUAAGCUAUAUAUGUAUAUAGAUAAAAACGCGUAUUAUCUCUGACUCGUUACUACGGCUCUGUAAUCAAUUGUAUAUUAAACUGUUUUACUGUAUUGGCAGAUCAUUUCACGCUAUCUUAGAUGUAGAAAAGCUGAGAAAGUAAUUCACAAUACACUAUGUCAACUUAAAAUUGGUUUGCUUUUUUAUUUUGGCUCCAGCACGACUUCAAACACAGUCCCGUGCCGUUUGCACAUUGUCUCGAAGAAUAAUAGUUUGGAACAGAAGUUUUUUCAGCCCUUUGUUUUGGAUCUGGCUUUUUACCAUGUUUCUUUGAUAAAUCACAAAACCGCCGAGUUAAUUUUUUGAUGAGGUGCAUAUUUAGAAGGCAUUUUAAAUGUGAAAGGAAUUUGUCACGCACACCCGCUGCACUUUGAUGUGUCGGUUGGCAGUGAAUGACCUUCCUCUUCCCAAAGCUGGUGGAGAAGACGACUCCUUCCUAAUUUUUCCUCAUUUUAAUACCACUCUAAGCUGUUGGGAAGGGGCUGUGCAGCAGCAGCACCUCUGCCACCGUGGGGUUGUUGCUGCUGGCCGUGGUGGGAGGUCCCAGCAGAGCUUUUCCACGUGGGGAGCUUGCGUUGGCCAAAAUUGGGGAUGAGUUCUAAAUAGGUUUGGUUUUGUUUUUUACUUUAGCAGAGAGCGUGGAUGGUUUAUUCUGGAAUCCCAGUGCCUUAUGCAAAUUAGGCCGCUUGGAAAAUGGAGUGAGGCAUUGUUGUUCUGGAGUAAGAGUCCACAGAGAAAGAAAUGGCUGACCAGGAGCGGCUGGCACGAGGAGCCGUAAAUCCUUUCAAAAUCUCACCCUGUGCGGCUGAACAGAGCCGAAGGUGUUGGACUGCUGCGGGCGGCUCCGCAGCAAACCCCAUGUCUGUCUGUCCCUCUCUCUGUCUCUCACCCCCCCGCCUCCCUCAGGGUCUCGUCUGUUCGUUGGGUUUCACUGGGGGAAAAAGAAAAAACCCCUAAUGAAGUCCUGAGCCCUUGCAAAGUGAGGUUUCCACCUGGAAGGUCUGCAGGUUUCCUCUGGAUCCGUGCUCUGCUCCUCUCCCUCUGCCGCUGAGGAGCACGGAGCGGCAGCGCCAAACCCUGCUCUUCCUGGCCCCUGCUGACAGCGGGGCCCUGUGGCCGUACACUUUUAUACAGGUCCAGCCGGGUGCCCGCGUUUCCCUGCGCUCCCCUCCGGUCGCAAGAGCUUUGUCCUGGAAUCGCAGAGAGGUCAGUCUGCUUUUUCCAAGAGUCUUGAUUUUAUUGCUUUCCCUCAUAUUUUAAAUAGAGGAGGGGUUUCCCAAAGACAAGGUAAGUACUGGAGCACACGCGUGGUACGAUGGGCUCCGCAGCCAGCGGUCGCACCGCGUGACUCGAUGCCAGCCCCGGGUGUUCAUGCCAUUAGGUGUGUGUCAGCCACACUCGGGUGUUCCUGUGUGUUUGCCUUCUGUGGCAGGCGAAAACUGUUCCAGUGUUAUCCAGCCGCGUUCCUAUUGUAGACCGUGGUGAUUGUCAACUGCCAAGGGAUAUUUUUUAAUAAAUCUUAUCAAGGUGUUUCAAAUAAAUCCCGUCUCCCCAUUUUCCUUCUCAGUU